CAGGCUGUGAGUCAGAGAAGAAGAGAAGCUCCAUCAUGUCAGGUUCAACACCAACCAUGUUGCCUGUAGCUCUGCUGCUGCUGCUGGCUGCUGGAUCCUGUGUGAAGUGUGAACAGUUGACACAGCCAGCCUCUGUGACUGUGCAGCCAGGUCAGAGUCUGACCAUCACCUGUCAGGUCUCUUAUUCUGUUGGCAGCUACUACACAGCCUGGAUCAGACAGCCUGCAGGGAAAGGACUGGAGUGGAUUAUAGUAGGUCGUGUGGGAUAUAGCACAUAUACCAAAGAUUCACUGAAGAACCAGUUCAGUAUCAACUUUGACUCUUCCAGCAACACAGUGACUCUAAACGGACUGAAUAUGCAGCCUGCAGACACUGCAGUGUAUUACUGUGCCAGAGACCCACAGUGACACAACCCAUCAGUAGAGCUGAACAAAAACCCCUCAGAGCCUGAACACCAGUAACAUG
Labrus mixtus (cuckoo wrasse) is the source of this 465-nucleotide non-coding RNA. Lineage: Eukaryota; Metazoa; Chordata; Actinopteri; Labriformes; Labridae. The record is from the annotation of a RefSeq genome assembly.